RNAcentral lists this ribosomal RNA (441 nucleotides) under Brevundimonas sp. Its description in RNAcentral is "bacterial SSU rRNA". It matches the Rfam family "Bacterial small subunit ribosomal RNA", at positions 237 to 695 of the family's 1533-position model. The record is from RNAcentral. Lineage: Bacteria; Pseudomonadati; Pseudomonadota; Alphaproteobacteria; Caulobacterales; Caulobacteraceae.
CUGAUUAGCUAGUUGGUGAGGUAAUGGCUCACCAAGGCGACGAUCAGUAGCUGGUCUGAGAGGAUGAUCAGCCACAUUGGGACUGAGACACGGCCCAAACUCCUACGGGAGGCAGCAGUGGGGAAUCUUGCGCAAUGGGCGAAAGCCUGACGCAGCCAUGCCGCGUGAAUGAUGAAGGUCUUAGGAUUGUAAAAUUCUUUCACCGGGGACGAUAAUGACGGUACCCGGAGAAGAAGCCCCGGCUAACUUCGUGCCAGCAGCCGCGGUAAUACGAAGGGGGCUAGCGUUGCUCGGAAUUACUGGGCGUAAAGGGAGCGUAGGCGGACAUUUAAGUCAGGGGUGAAAUCCCGGGGCUCAACCUCGGAAUUGCCUUUGAUACUGGGUGUCUUGAGUAUGAGAGAGGUGUGUGGAACUCCGAGUGUAGAGGUGAAAUUCGUAGAU